AUGGAUUAUUUGAGUCCAGAGAAGAGGAUCUAUUAGAAGUUUGCGGACCUCUAGAAGAGGGAUUCCUGGUGCAAGGAAUGGCAGCUGCUUUUCCAACCAUGUGCAAGCAGUGUCCUCUACUUGCCCAGACCGAGAACAAAAUAUCUGAAUCCGAUUCAAGUCAAGAAGAGCAAAGGAAAAAAAGGAGAGAGGAGGUCCAGAGAGCAUCCAUGGGCCAUGGUGGGAUUGGCUGUAGGAUUUCCCUCUAUUCUACUGUCCUGAUCCUGUCUUCGCAGCACCUGCAUCCCAGCCACAGACAAGCUGGAAGGGAGCCCAGAACUCCCAGGCAAUGUGACCCAGUUGGCCUUACUGUCAGGUUGUUGUUGGUCAGUGGAUUAGCAGGCUUACACCAGGUCUCAUGACUCUGAGUCCUGGAGUUCCUCUCUCCAUACCUCCUGUCUUGCUAGAGAUAUCAAAAAAUACUAAGUAAAACAGGAGGCCCAAGGGAGAUGUGCAGUGGCAGCGGGGGGAGGGAGCAUUAAAAGUGUGACCGUGUGAAUACAAAUGCCAUCGUGGGACCCACUGCUUUGGAGGCUAACUUUAAAUGUUAACCUAAAAAUAAUCUCAUAUUAGCAUGCAAAAUAUAUUUCUAUAUGGACACAGGGUUCAAGACUGUAUAGGCGAACAUUCCCUGUAGAGCACAAAUGUAUUGUGCAUGCACUUGGAAGCUGCCGACAAGGUCCCUGGAAGGCACUGGCACUCUGAUCAAUCGCCAUGUCUCCUAGGAUCAAAAGCACUGGAGCCAAGAGGCAGGGACUCAGCAAAAGGGGGAGGGGCAGCCAGUGAGCUGGGGGUGGAGAAUGGCUUCCAGAGGUGCAGACUAAUCUUUUGCCUAGAUCAUGGGUCAGUGCCUUCCUGAGCUGGAACACCAGGCUGGGUAACUGACUAACCAAGAGACAGGUGACUUACCUGUGGCAGUCGUGCCAAAUCCACGCAUGGCGGCCAUUCUUGGGGCGGAAGUCAGACUGGCCAUUGUUGUGGAUCUGGGAGGAGAAGCGUAAAAGGCGCCGGUGGCCUCUGGUGGGGUCGGUGUGCACAGCGGAGGCGGAGAGGCAGUUCUCCUCCAUGGCACACUGCAGCAAGGACAUGGGCCUGUCCUCCAGGUAGGCAGUCUGCUGGACAAUCUCAGCAUUAAGCACCAGGUCAGGUGCAGCUGCAGAAGACAGACAUGGGUCAAAGAGGAAACCCCUUCCGAGGGCACCCCUGAGAAAAGUGCCCUCGUUUUACAUGCCCUUCUGGAGCUGGCCUAGGGCUCCCCAUGCUACCUUCAUGUCACCCCCAAUUACACUUUCAUUUUGCCGGAAGUCUUCUUAACACUCCCCUUCAGUUACCAGUGUGGGUGGGCAAGAUACUGACACAUAGUGGGUGAUAGGCACCCAAGGGCUCCUCAGACCAUUCUCUCUAUUUUCAAGGACCCCUCAGAUGUUCCAUGAUAAAGAGCAGAAAAACAGCCUCGAAGGGAGACACUGCUCACCCAUGGUCUGAUUCUAUCUCUUCUAGUAUGCAUGCAGAUUUAUGGUCUACUAAUGCUGUCCCCCUUAAAAUGUACCUUUAUUGUUGAUGUCUGAACAUUGCGACAUUUAUUUUAUGGUUCUGUAAUAUUUCCUUCACCACCAACUUCUAUCUUUUAGGGUUGCUAUACCUUGGAUGCUUGGAAAUCUUUUUAAAUUAAUGACAAGCCUGUGAUCAAUAUCCUAUAGUCAAUCCGGACCUAAAUUGUGUGUGUGUGUGUGUUUAUAUUUGUGUAUGUGCUUUUCUCUUCUUUAGACUGUAUCUCUAGCAUAGAUGAAUUUCUAGCAGAGAAGUUUCAUGGAGAAAGAACUGCCUGAUUUUUAAGGCUUUGAUGCAUAUUGCCAAGGUGGCUUCUCAGAGUUUUAUUCCUUUCCUUUCCUUACAGUGUGGCACAGAGCUUGUGCAGAAAGGAUGUUGCCCGUGUUGGGGGGGGGGGGGCAGGGAACCUCUUUCUACAAAUGUGAACUGCAGGCCUCCUAAAAAGCAUGUGCUUAAAGCAUCCAUGUCAGAGAACAUUUCACAACAACAUCUGAGGCCUAGCUCUAGAAACUGUGGGUUGAGACCCCAUACAAAGCUGUGUAAGUGAAUGUGGGGGUCUUGAAAAUUUUGGGAACAGUAAAAGGUUUCUGAACACACAAUGUCUGGAAAUUAAUUAAAAAAAUCAAAUGUACAACGAGGCUGAGGUGUUUCUUGCUAGAAACCCAUGUUGUAUUGUGAUGACAGCCUCGGUUUUGAACAUACAACAUUGUAUAUGUCACAUAGGCAACACAGCUUGAAAUACCUUGGUGCAUAUUCAAGAUUUCCAUAUGUUAUGAGUUACAGUGCUUUUGCUAUACAUAAGUUUUCUGUUCUUGUAGAAACAUGGUUCAAUGACAGGAACAAAGACUUUUAAUAUUUUUCUAUUUGUAAAUGUCACAUCAGCAUGUCCUUAAUUGUACUGUGUUAGAAUGUUCUAUUUCAAACAUGUUGCUUGAGAUGCUGACUUGAAUUUAAUUUUUAAAACAGUGUUAAAGGAACUUUGGUUUGAGAUAAGGACAGAUUUCCAAUCAUCUCCGAGAUGGCUCUAAACAUACUUCUGUUGUUCUGUAUUUUGUAUUUAUGCAAAUGGCAUUCUUAGCAUCAAUAAUUAUAUAUCAAGGUACUGGUCAACUC
RNAcentral lists this long non-coding RNA (2703 nucleotides) under Mus musculus (house mouse). RNAcentral describes it as "predicted gene 27177". Lineage: Eukaryota; Metazoa; Chordata; Mammalia; Rodentia; Muridae. The record is from RNAcentral.